This 401-nucleotide ribosomal RNA is filed under the name uncultured bacterium. RNAcentral's name for it is "bacterial SSU rRNA". It matches the Rfam family "Bacterial small subunit ribosomal RNA", at positions 30 to 432 of the family's 1533-position model. The record is from RNAcentral.
AUUGAACGCUGGCGGCAUGCCUUACACAUGCAAGUCGAACGGCAGCACGGGAGCAAUCCUGGUGGCGAGUGGCGAACGGGUGAGUAAUAUAUCGGAACGUGCCCAGUCGUGGGGGAUAACGUAGCGAAAGCUACGCUAAUACCGCAUACGAUCUAUGGAUGAAAGCGGGGGAUCGCAAGACCUCGCGCGAUUGGAGCGGCCGAUAUCAGAUUAGGUAGUUGGUGAGGUAAAGGCUCACCAAGCCGACGAUCUGUAGCUGGUCUGAGAGGACGACCAGCCACACUGGGACUGAGACACGGCCCAGACUCCUACGGAGGCAGCAGUGGGGAAUUUUGGGACAAUGGGCGCAAGCCUGAUCCAGCAAUGCCGCGUGCAGGAUGAAGGCCUUCGGUUGUAACUAG